GGUCGGUGAUCAUACAGUACCGUUAGUCUAAAUAACUCUCCUCGGGAGAUUAGUACAGAAACAAGACAAUGAUUUUUUGAUUUUUUUAAAUAGUGCUAUGAUCAUGCUAGAUGCAUGCUAUGCUAGAUCUAUGCUAUGCUACGUGCUAUAGUGCUAUGAUCAUGCUAGAUGCAUGCUAUGCUAGAUCUAUGCUAUGUGCUAUGAUCAUGCUAGAUGCAUGCUAUGCUAGAUCUAUGCUAUGCUAAGUGCUAUAUGCUAUGAUCAUGCUAGAUGCAUGCUAUGCUAGAUCUAUGCUAUGUGCUAUGAUCAUGCUAGAUGCAUGCUAUGCUAGAUCUAUGCUAUGUGCUAUGAUCAUGCUAGAUGCAUGCUAUGCUAGAUCUAUGCUAUGCGCUAUAGUGCUAUGACCAUGCUAGAUGCAUGCUAUGCUAGAUCUAUGCUAUGCUAUGUGCUAUGAUCAUGCUAUGCUAGCAAUGCUAGAUCAUGUGCUUAGCGAAGAGGUAGGUCUUUAGUCUUCAUUUGAAGAUCAUCUGAAGGGUCCAUUGAUUUAGCCGUCGCUUCAUCUUUCACUAAGGAGAGCGAUGAGGAUGAGAGCUUCUCAGUCUGCUCUGUUCUCUUAUUGCGACUGCACACUCGAGCAAACACGGCGAAUCGCAGUUUUUCAAAACGGUUUUUUUCCCCCGCAGGUUCGCCGAGGGGCCCAGACGCGUCACGUGACGUCGUCACGACGCUCGUUCGGUCGAAGCCCUCUCCGAUGCACGUCCGUCGAACACGAGUACAGCUAAAAAGAUCUCGGUUACCGACAGACAUCGCUGCGACAGAGCGCGCAGGACGAUUUCGCCGAUUCGAGUAGUUUUCCAGCGAAAAUAAAUAAACAAACAAACACAAAGUUCCAUCGCAAAUUUCGGAAAAGAUUUUUUUUUAAAAAGCCGCGGCAUAUAUUUCAGUAUAAAUGUAUUCACUGCAUUUCCGAGUGGACGUUUCGUUUAAGAUUACGCUUGGCAUUGAGUACUAUAGGUAUGCCGCUGUUUAACAACAUAAUCACGGUCCAUGAAGCACAGAAGAGCCAUAGACUCCUUUAGGCUCGUAUAUGUUCACAGUGUAAGACCUUCUUAAGUUUACUGCAGUGUCUGAAAACAGAACAAGUGUGUGUGUGUGUGUGUGUGUGUGUGUGGGGCUACUGUGACUGGUCAAAGCUGUGUUUAUUCAGUGCUGACAAGGGGGUGGCGUAACCUCCUCCAAACUCUGUCAACAUGGCACACACACACACACACACACACACACACACAAGUAAAGUAAACUAAAGCAGUUCACACUGUAUCGCAAUGCUCUUCCCAGUAAAUAUGAAGGUUUAUGGCCUUAUGCGGUGGCUAUUAUAGCAGCAUUACGGUAACGUUUGGAUUUGAUAUACAAUUAGUACGCAUUAAUGUAUGUAUGCAUGCAUGCAUGCAAGUAUUUCGGAUAAUCAGGCUUCAGAAUUCUCCGGCUCAGGUCAACAGGGAGCACACACAAGGCUAUUUAAACUAAAACACUCAUCAGCCUAGUAUGCAUAAUUCAUAUGCUGUUAUGAGUACACAGUCAUCAACCCACAGCAAA
Long non-coding RNA from Ictalurus punctatus (channel catfish), 1593 nucleotides. The record is from Ensembl. Lineage: Eukaryota; Metazoa; Chordata; Actinopteri; Siluriformes; Ictaluridae.